Molecule: transfer RNA, 69 nt
Filed under: Cavia porcellus (domestic guinea pig)
Lineage: Eukaryota; Metazoa; Chordata; Mammalia; Rodentia; Caviidae
Rfam family: tRNA
About the family: Transfer RNA (tRNA) molecules are approximately 80 nucleotides in length. Their secondary structure includes four short double-helical elements and three loops (D, anti-codon, and T loops).
Source: Rfam by way of RNAcentral
GGGGAUGUAGCUCAGUGGCACAGCACCUGCCUGGCAAGCACAAGGCCCUGGGUUCGAUUCCUGGUACCA